AUUGAACGCUGGCGGAAUGCUUUACACAUGCAAGUCGAGCGGCAGCGCGGCCUUCGGGCUGGCGGCGAGCGGCGAACGGGUGAGUAAUGCAUCGGAACAUGCCCAGUCGUGGGGGAUAACACUUCGAAAGAAGUGCUAAUACCGCAUACGUCCUGAGGGGGAAAGCGGGGGAUCGCAAGACCUCGCGCGAUUGGAUUGGCCGAUGUCAGAUUAGCUAGUUGGUGGGGUAAAGGCCUACCAAGGCGACGAUCUGUAGCUGGUCUGAGAGGAUGAUCAGCCACACUGGGACUGAGACACGGCCCAGACUCCUACGGGAGGCAGCAGUGGGGAAUUUUGGACAAUGGGGGCAACCCUGAUCCAGCCAUUCCGCGUGAGUGAAGAAGGCCUUCGGGUUGUAAAGCUCUUUCAGCAGGAACGAAACGGUGGGCUCUAACAUAGUCCGCUAAUGACGGUACCUGAAGAAGAAGCACCGGCUAACUACGUG
This 484-nucleotide ribosomal RNA is filed under the name uncultured bacterium. RNAcentral describes it as "partial 16S ribosomal RNA". It matches the Rfam family "Bacterial small subunit ribosomal RNA", at positions 30 to 507 of the family's 1533-position model. The record is from RNAcentral.